UUUGAAAAUGAUGUUUUAAAUGCAUCAAUAACAUCAUCAUUAUCUUGUGUUAAAGAUGGUAGUAUGAUUGCUGGGGUGUUGUAAAGUAUGAAACCAUGGCCAGUGCGUUACGAACUACCUAUUUUAUUUCCCUCAGUAAAUGCAGCUUUGGAUUCUAAUUGGAAAACAUCAUUAUGACAUGAAAAUGGAAUACCAUAAGCUCUGGCCAGACAUCAACAUCCUGUUGGAUCGUCAGCAACGUACUUGUGCUACUCGUGCAAAUUUUUGUUUUGUUUUGAGUACAGUCAAUUUAAAAUGUACUUAUCCUUGGCUUUCUAUUGCUAGAUUGGUUUGUUUUAAGUGUUUUUACAAUCAUAAUGUUUUACUAUAAAAACUCUGCAUUACACUACUUAUAAAGUUAUAAGUUAUUAUUAUUACUUAUUUUUCUUCUCUUUUAGAAAUAAAUUUAAUCUCAAAAUAUUUUUGGAAGUCUGACUUUCUAAUGAAAUGAGAUUAAGAUUUGCCAAAAAUCUUGACAGAACUCCACCAAUGUAUGGGUGGAAUGGCUGAUAAAAUUAUGCAACUAGUAAAAUCAAAGCAUGAAGAUGAUAUAGUAAAUGCAAUUUCUGAAAUUGAUGACUCAAUGAAGAAAGAUGCCACAUUAAAUGCAGCCAUUAUUUUAUUACCAAAGCUGUUUAAAGAAUCAAUUGAAUGCAUAUUUACAUUUGACAUACAACCCGUGCAGAGUACGCCAACUAUCAAAAUGCCAAAAAGACAAAGGCUCAUAACAAAAUAUUGUUUUGUUAUUUUGGAUGGAUCUAUAAUAACUUUAUUAUAGAGCAUUGCAGCGAUGUUGACGUUUCAUUAGCGAUGUCGUAUGUUUUUGCAUCGUAUUAUAUAUAUAAUAUUCAAUAUCCUGCAAUUAAAAACGCGUUAUUGUUUUAUGAACAUAUUGUUUAUGGAUUGUUAUUUAAAGAACGCCCAGUGACAAUAACUAGAAUGGCUCAUACUUUGAAUAACAAAUUAAAUUGAUUUACUACCUAUGCUAUACUUUUUA
This is a non-coding RNA of Hydra vulgaris (swiftwater hydra), 1036 nucleotides long. Lineage: Eukaryota; Metazoa; Cnidaria; Hydrozoa; Anthoathecata; Hydridae. The record is from RefSeq and is a predicted model, not a curated record.